GUCGUGAGAUGUUGGGUUAAGUCCCGCAACGAGCGCAACCCUUAUCCUAUGUUGCCAGCACGUAAUGGUGGGGACUCGUGGGAGACUGCCGGGGUCAACUCGGAGGAAGGUGGGGACGACGUCAAGUCAUCAUGCCCCUUAUGUCCAGGGCUGCAAACAUGCUACAAUGGCCGGUACAAAGGGCUGCUAUACCGCGAGGUGGAGCGAAUCCCAUAAAGCCGGUCUCAGUUCGGAUUGAAGUCUGCAACUCGACUUCAUGAAGCUGGAGUCGCUAGUAAUCCCGGAUCAGCAACGCCGGGGUGAAUACGUUCCCGGGCCUUGUACACACCGCCCGUCACACCACGAAAGUCGGCAACGCCCGAAGCCAGUGGCCUAACCCGCAAGGGGAGGAGCUGUCGAAGGUGGGGUCGGCGAUUGGGGUGAAGUCGUAACAAGGUAGCCGUACCGGAAGGUGCGGCUGGAUCACCUCCUUUCUAAGGAGCUCACCACCAUCCGGUGGAGACUCCCAGUUGAUGCACUCUUUAUUCGUUCCUCGAGCUCGCCCGACCGGUCGUAGGUUUACCUCCCGGUCCCGUGAGGGAGAGGUUCGUCGUUCUCUGUUCCGUAUUUGAAGGAGCGCCCCUUAGGCCCCCGCCCACGGCUUGCCGUGCGGGGGCCUUCGUCCGCUCCAGGAGCCGUACCUUCCCGAAAGGGUCGGGCCGGCUCCGUUUGCCCUUUGAGAACUGCAUAGCGAGCACGAGCAUCUUUGUUCUUCCAAGUUACAAAGUGCCAACGGUGGAUGCCUUGGCGUCUACUACCGAUGAAGGACGUGAUUGGCUGCGAUAAGCCACGGGGAGCUGCCUAAUGAGCGUUGAUCCGUGGAUGU
RNAcentral lists this small RNA (865 nucleotides) under uncultured Actinomycetes bacterium. Its description in RNAcentral is "bacterial SSU rRNA". The stretch from base 1 to 473 matches the Rfam family "Bacterial small subunit ribosomal RNA", at positions 1064 to 1533 of the family's 1533-position model. Lineage: Bacteria; Bacillati; Actinomycetota; Actinomycetes. The record is from RNAcentral.